RNAcentral lists this transfer RNA (110 nucleotides) under Felis catus (domestic cat). It matches the Rfam family "tRNA". From Rfam's summary of the family: Transfer RNA (tRNA) molecules are approximately 80 nucleotides in length. Lineage: Eukaryota; Metazoa; Chordata; Mammalia; Carnivora; Felidae. The record is from Rfam by way of RNAcentral.
GCCUGGGUGGCUAAGUCAGUUAAGCAUCUGACUUCUACUCAGUUCUUGAUCUCACAAGAUCAAGCAAGAUUGAUCUCACGAGAUUGUAGGUUCGAACCCCACAUUGGGCU